AUUUUGGGGAAAAGAAAUUAUGGGCGUAAAAGGUAAGUUGAUUGCUUCAAUAGAGGCGAAGUGUGGAGGACAUUUGAUUCAUGAUACUCUUCACUCCAAUAAUCAUCAUAUACCCAACAUAUGCCCUAGUAAGGUCAACCAUUUCCAGAUUCAUGGAGGUGAAAUCAUUAAGGUUGGUUCAAUUAUUAGCUAAAAAUAUAACGAGGAUGGAAAAGAAAAAUUUGCUAAGGAAGUGAUAGAGUCCAUCGAUCCUCAUAACAAAUCAAUCACUUGGAAAGUGAUUGAAGGAGAUUUGCUAGACUUAUAUAAUUCCUUCAAAGUCAUCACUACUAGUGAACAUGAGUGGACUAUAUUGACAUUCGUGUACGAGAAGAAAAAUGAAGAUAUACCUGGGCCCCUCACUAUAUUUGGUGAAUGGAUUGAUGUGAUCAAAGAGAUAGAUGGGCACCUUCUUAAGAAAUAAAAAAUCUAUAAAAUUCAACGAUUAUAUAUGUAUGUGUGCGUGUUUGUGCUUGUGUGAUGAAUCUUUAAUAAUAUCGGCUAGUUCUAGCUAGCAUGUGAAAUAAAUAAUGUUAUAUUUAAAGAAUA
Molecule: long non-coding RNA, 588 nt
Organism: Solanum stenotomum
Lineage: Eukaryota; Viridiplantae; Streptophyta; Magnoliopsida; Solanales; Solanaceae
Exons: 2
Source: RefSeq, a predicted model, not a curated record